UGGGGGAUAUUGCACAAUGGGCGAAAGCCUGAUGCAGCGACGCCGCGUGGGGAUGAAGGCCCUCGGGUUGUAAACUUCUUUUGCUCUGAACAAGGCAUGCCUUUGGGGUGUGUUGAGUGUAGGGGUUGAUUAGCGCCGGCUAACUACGUGCCAGCAGCCGCGGUAAUACGUAGGGCGCGAGCGUUGUCCGGAAUUAUUGGGCGUAAAGGGCUUGUAGGUGGCUGGUUGCGUCUGUCGUGAAAGCUCAUGGCUUAACUGUGGGUUUGCGGUGGGUACGGGCUGGCUUGAGUGCAGUAGGGGAGGCUGGAAUUCCUGGUGUAGCGGUGGAAUGCGCAGAUAUCAGGAGGAAUACCGGUGGCGAAGGCGGGUCUCUGGGCUGUUACUGACGCUGAGGAGCGAAAGCGUGGGGAGCGAACAGG
This 419-nucleotide ribosomal RNA is filed under the name Fusobacteriota bacterium. RNAcentral's name for it is "Fusobacteria bacterium partial 16S ribosomal RNA". It matches the Rfam family "Bacterial small subunit ribosomal RNA", at positions 355 to 776 of the family's 1533-position model. The record is from RNAcentral. Lineage: Bacteria; Fusobacteriati; Fusobacteriota.